CCGCCGCCGCCCGGCCUCCUCGUUCCACCGCUCGCGCCGCCUCCUCUCCCGCUCGCGCCGCCUCCACCUCCCCACCAGCGCCUCCCACUCCUCCUUCCCCGCCGCCGCCCGGCUUCCUCCCCUCACGGCCUCCUCCUUCCACCCCCCCGAUCUGGAGCCGCCCAAACCCUAACGCCCCGCCCCGGCUCCGGCUCCCACGGGAGGGAAGGAGGAAUGGCGAGGCGAGGCAAAGGCGGCGGCGUAUGGGACGUGGCACAGGCGGCGUGGGGGGUCGGCCUUCUCCCCCCCUACUCCCUCGCUGAUGCCGACGAGGACCGUCAUGGCCGGCGGACUGCUGGUCGUCGAUCCGCGCGCCUCGGCCUUCUGCAGCUUCUCCGACCACCGCUCCCGACAAGGACCCGACCGAGGUUAUUGUCAGCUGAUAGAUAGGAAUUUAGAGGAAGCAACUUAUAAAUGGGGGGCAAUGAUGUUACUGUUUCUUUUCCUUUUAUUAGCGUGCAUGCCAGGGCUGACUGCCUUGUGCGUAUCAUGAUGAGGAGUAGCAGCAUGCCAUAUUUGCUCGCUCUGCCGAGCACCGUGGAGGAGGCAAGGGGCCGUUAGGGAGUAAAUCAAACAUUUGAUGAGUGCCGCACGCCCGCAUUCGAUGUCGGAGAGAUAUAUUAGGGGGGAAAUCGAUCUCGAAAAUGAUAUAAGAGGCAUGUUAUGAUUUAAGGGUGUUUUCCACUCUGUCGCACCAAUUGCAAGGUGUUUAUUACCAAGGGUGUUCAGGAGAACCUAUUUAUUCUAUUUCAGAAACAACUUGAGAUUAAGAUGGGUUUGUUUUGUGACGGGUGCAUGGUGCACUAGAAAUAUUCACCACUUUUACUUGACCCCAAAUGGCAUGAGAUUAAGGAUGCAUUGGAGCCAGGGCAGAGGCCUUCUGAUCGGGUGGAUAUUGUUGUUGGGAUCUAUCAUAUGAAGCUUAAAUGAGAUCAAGUCUGGGCGAGCUUUUGGCCCAAUUAAGGCUGUGUUGUAUACCGCCGAGUUCCAAAAAUGAGGCUUGCCACACGGGCAUAUACUCGUCUGGCGUAAAUGAGACAAAGGCGAAGGCGUCUGUCUGAAAGAAAGUGAUGUGCUUUGGUGUUGUUAUAUGUUCCAGAGGGGGCUGAAGAGGAAGCCAUUGGCGCUCAUCAAGAAGUUGCACAAGGCGUUGUGCCACUUGCGAGUGACAACAUGCCAGAAUGUGUCCUUUUUUUCCUUGGAUGGACAUGGCUGUUGGCAGCAUAUGAUUUGCAACGUACCAAUUAGCAUCUGCGCUUGAGUGUACCAUGGAAUCGGCUGGUCAAGUUUAUACAGCAUGGCAUAGCACAAGUACUAUAUUCUUGAGCUAUCAUCUUCCUGUAGGCUGAGAUCUUUGCACCUGUUGUUUGAUGCGUUCGUGCGCGUCGGCGGGACGGUGUGCAAGGCGCAACUCCGACGUGGUUCCUCGCCGGUUGGAAGGCGUUCAGGCGCAACCCCGGCGCACACUGAGUACUGCCUCGGCUACAACCUCCCUCGGUGAGCUCCAUCUUCCUCCUGCUCCUCUGCUUCGGCUACUGUAUGGGACAUGGCCAUGGCUAUAUUGAUCCAUCUAGAAAGAAGAAACGAAACACCUCAGAGUGCUCCUCAGAGCUCAUGCACUCUCGGCCGUCGGAUCCGUUUCCUGAUGCGUUUCCGGCCGUCGGAUCAAGCUGACGAUCGAUUUCAGCCGUCGGAUCGAAAUUGAGGCCGUCGGAAUGAAUAGUGUGCGCCUGGUCGUGCCACAGCGCGUAAAUAUCCUGCCCCGCCAGGGGCAUUCUCAUCAUUUUGCUUUGUCUGUGGCGGUGGCGUUCGUGCUAGGGCGAUGAUGAUUAGUUGUGGAUGAAAUAAGUGUGCUUUUGAGCAAUCGAGGCACCUGUGGGUAUCAAGUUGGAUCCUCCUUGUUGUCUCUAGAAUCCUUUUUGAUCCUGUGAUAGCUAUGAUCUGUCCUUGGAUGGUCAUUCUUGUUGAGUGAUAACCAGGGCAGCUCCAUUGUAUAAAUAGAUUGAUCUGGUGAUAAGAGAUGAUGGGGGUAGGUUAUAUGAUGGAGGUAAGGCGAAUCUGAGCCCACUAUGCAAUAAAACUGCAGCUACCUCCCCUAAUGUGUGUAGUAUUGAAGGCAAAAGAGAACUUUUCAUGUCUUGCUACUUUAAAAUUCCAAAAAGGUUCAUUCUUCCUUUGCUGGUUACUUAACCAUGAUUUUUUGUUUUGCUUUGGUUCUGGUUGAGAUACUAAAGGUUGUUUAUAUAAGAAAAUAACAGACACUUGUAGUUUUGUAUGCCUCAACUGUAGCUUAGGAUCCAGUGUUGUAAUGUUUUUCCUAAGUAAAAAUAACUCUAAUCAAUAAUAGUGGUUCUAUCCUUCUGAUUUGAACUGAGAGAGGGCCACUGAUUCUUGAUCUUAAGGUGACCCUAUUUUACUAUGCCUCAUGCUCAUGCUGCUCUAUGUUCCCUUUUAGUGUUUCUUUCCGCUGUUGCUACAUUCCAUUUUUUGUAUACUACAUGCUCUUUUUGUAUCUCAAUCUGCAUGUGACAUAACUAAAUAAUACAUCUUCGACCAGUAUUCACAUUGAGAUGGAAGGUUAUAUCUGAUAUCACCUAGCUCAAGUAGGAACUUUCUGCUCCAAUGUUUGCUAUGCAAUACUUGCCUUGCCAUGUUUGUUAACUAUUGUGCCCUAAAAUUUGUGAAUGAAAUGAUUACAUCUUCCUGUUUGUAUGAGGUGGCAAGUCAUUUUAUUGCCUACUCUAUAACAUAAAUUCCUUGUGAUGUGCUGAUAGGGAGAAAAUUGUGUUAUUUAUGAUUUUUUUCCCACUUGACAUCUGCAAAGUAGAGAUAUGGAGCUUGGAAGCAUUAUAUUGGAUUUGAAUCUCACUGAUAAUGCACCAGAUAUGCAGUUGUUUUAUUGGGAAGUGAGGUCUAUGAUGUCUUUGAUGCCAUUUUUGUUUACCUCAAUCUUGCCAAUCGUGCUUGAAUAGAGUCAAGGUUGAGUUCCAAACAAAAUGAUACAUUGUAGGAUCUCUUACUUUAUAGGGAAAUGCAUGAGUAUAUUGCUGUUGCGCAUAUGUGACUGCAGUUUGUAUUUUGUCAUAUCUAUCAGUCCUAUACCGAUGUUUGAAACCAAUUUAAGUGGUCCUUUGGAAGGUUUUUCAGUUUAGUCAUGUAACACCCAUGUGCUGGUAUAUUUCAUUCCCUUGUGAAGUGAAUCGUUUAUGUGUAUGAAAGUUUUUCGAAUAUCACAAAAAACUCAUCUAUCAUGGAUGGUUACUUUGAUUUUUUAGAUGUAAACAGUUUCUCAAACCUUCCUACUAACUUGACUAUUACCUGCUUAAUUACAACAUUUGGACCGGCACCUUCGCACCAAGGCGCACAGCCGGCUCGCCGCAAGUACACCUACGCUGCCGCCUCCCCUGGGGGCUGCAAGGUGAAGUGGACGACCGAGGAGAAGCCGCACGGCGCGUCUGGGCUCUCAAGUGGGAGGCGGAGCUCGCCUCCCCCCAACGACGUCAGCUUUGAUCACAAGUGGAAGUGGGAGCCCAAGUCCAAGCCCCGUGCCGCCGGCAAGGCCAAGACCAAGCUCGAGGAAGCCAGCGAGGAUGACAAGAAUAAGCCGGCGAGGAAGUGCACGCAGAUCGAGGAGGUCCUCGCCGGCUGCGACGCCAUCCGCAAGGAUGAUGACUAUCUAAUGGUGAUUCCCUAUUCCCACAUUUUUUGCCCUCAUGUUGCAAGCUCUAAAGCUGCCCCUGCAAUUUACCAUCACAAGACAUGUCUGGGCAGCAAGUCUCCUGUGGCGGUUACUUUUAAUUCAUCGUUACAAUUCUUUGAUGGUUUGCUUGUUCAAACCUCGAUAUCUGCCUGUAGAUUCCCGUUGUUAUCUUUGUAGUGGAAGGUACCACCUGGUGGUAUGUUGCUAUUUUCACUUUGUUCUGAACAAGGCAUGUAUAGAUUUCAGAUUUUAAUUCCUAUUUGUCUGUCGUAAAAAGUAAUGUAUGGUCGUGUGUUUUA
Molecule: long non-coding RNA, 4038 nt
Organism: Triticum aestivum (bread wheat)
Lineage: Eukaryota; Viridiplantae; Streptophyta; Magnoliopsida; Poales; Poaceae
Exons: 11
Source: RefSeq, a predicted model, not a curated record